This 253-nucleotide ribosomal RNA is filed under the name uncultured bacterium. Its description in RNAcentral is "partial 16S ribosomal RNA". It matches the Rfam family "Bacterial small subunit ribosomal RNA", at positions 524 to 776 of the family's 1533-position model. The record is from RNAcentral.
UACGUAGGGUGCAAGCGUUGUCCGGAAUUAUUGGGCGUAAAGAGCUCGUAGGCGGUUCGUCACGUCGGCUGUGAAAACCUGAGGCUCAACCUCAGGCCUGCAGUCGAUACGGGCGGACUUGAGUACUGCAGGGGAGACUGGAAUUCCUGGUGUAGCGGUGAAAUGCGCAGAUAUCAGGAGGAACACCGAUGGCGAAGGCAGGUCUCUGGGCAUUAACUGACGCUGAGGAGCGAAAGCAUGGGGAGCGAACAGG